AGUUGCUAAUAUUAAGUUAAGGACUCAUUGAGACUGCCAGCGACAAGCUGGAGGAAGGUGGGGAUGACGUCAAAUCAUCAUGCCCUUUAUGACCUGGGCUACAAACGUACUACAAUGGCCAGAUACAAAGAGAUGCGAAGCCGCGAGGUGGAGCGAACCUCAUAAAAAUGGUCUCAGUUCGGAUUGGAGUCUGCAACUCGACUCCAUGAAGUCGGAAUCGCUAGUAAUCGCGGGUCAGCAGACCGCGGUGAAUACGUUCCCGGGUUU
This 267-nucleotide ribosomal RNA is filed under the name uncultured Bacillota bacterium. RNAcentral describes it as "uncultured Firmicutes bacterium partial 16S ribosomal RNA". It matches the Rfam family "Bacterial small subunit ribosomal RNA", at positions 1113 to 1381 of the family's 1533-position model. Lineage: Bacteria; Bacillati; Bacillota. The record is from RNAcentral.